This 503-nucleotide ribosomal RNA is filed under the name Burkholderia sp. EPML231. RNAcentral's name for it is "bacterial SSU rRNA". It matches the Rfam family "Bacterial small subunit ribosomal RNA", at positions 9 to 499 of the family's 1533-position model. The record is from RNAcentral. Lineage: Bacteria; Pseudomonadati; Pseudomonadota; Betaproteobacteria; Burkholderiales; Burkholderiaceae.
GAGGUGAUAUCUGGCUCAGAGUUGUACGCGGGCGGCAUGCGCUUACACACAUCAAGUCGGACGGCAGCACGGGGGCGACCCCGGUGGCGAGUGGCGCACGGGUGAGUGAUACAUCGGAACGUGUCUCUGUAGUGGGGGAUAGCCCGGCGAAAGCCGGAGAAAUACCGCAUACGAUAUACGGGAGAAAGCGGGGGAUCUUUCGGGACCUCGCGCUAUAGGGGCGGCCGAUGGCAGAUUAGCUAGUUGGUGGGGUAAAGGCCUACCAAGGCGACGAUCUGUAGCUGGUCUGAGAGGACGACCAGCCACACUGGGACUGAGACACGGCCCAGACUCCUACGGGAGGCAGCAGUGGGGAAUUUUGGACAAUGGGGGAAACCCUGAUCCAGCAAUGCCGCGUGUGUGAAGAAGGCCUUCGGGUUGUAAAGCACUUUUGUCCGGAAAGAAAACUUCUGCCCUAAUACGGUGGGAGGAUGACGGUACCGGAAGAAUAAGCACCGGGGCUA